ACCCUCCGCUCCUCCUCCUUCCCUUGUCCGCCGCCGCACUCCCUCCCUCCUCCCUCGUUGCCACACCCUCCGCUCCUCCUCCUUCCCUUGUACCCCGCCGCACUCCCUCCCUCCUCCCUCGUCACCACACCCUCCACCCUAGGACCACACGCUCGUCCUGUCGUCUCAUGUGCCAUCGCUGCCGGCCCCUGCCAUGGUGUCGCGGAGCUCUUCCCGCGCCCUCGCGUCCAACAUCACCAAGUCCUCGAUGCCGGCCUCAUCGGCUUGCUGCGGCGACCGCUCUUGACGCCGUCCUUGCGACCCGACAGGGGCAAACCCGACCGCGGGCGGCUCAUGUGGUGGUGCAGCGGACGGCAGCCUCAGCGGGUGAGCGAUGAAGACUCCAGCUGGUACACGACCUCGCACCCCGAUGCGUCCAUGCUCGAAUAGCUCGCAUCUUCAUGGCCACCAAGUGCGCAGGCCAAUAGUUAAGUUUUCCACGGAUGUGUCCUUGUUGGAUGGAUGGUGACUAACGAGAUGCACUUCUUUGACACAAGUAAUUUUAAUAAAGGGAUUGUGUACAAGUGUUCAGAUCUUUUCUUGUGACAAGGAUGCACAAAAUCAAGUUGUCUGUCGGUAGGAGAUUUUUUCGCUGUCCAACUGUUCAGUUCCACUAGAACAAGGGGUCUACUGGACUUCUUAUUGUCUCCAAACCUGAUGUGGAUAAAACCAACUAGAGUAUUAUGGCGAAACCAAGUUGCACUACUUGACAACUGAUAGGGCCUUUGAUGGAAUUGUUCCUCUUAAAAAGGAGGGGCCAGUGCAUGAUGUUCAGUGGUCUUCUUCAGGUUCUGAAUUUGUUGUGAUCUAUGGAUAUAUCCUUACAUAUUCUGGUGACCCAUGCAUGAGUCAUGCCUCCCCGUUCUGAUGUCCAUAUAAAUCUUUCUUUCUCUUCAUCACCUCUGACUUUUAUUAGCUCGAGCCUUCAUAAGAGGAAGUAUACGAUCUGUUCUGCCAGCUUUAGAUUCUUAUAGAUUACCCAGGUAUCGUUUAUGGGUCGGAGUCAUUAAUUCAUGCCUAUAUUUGAAAAAAAUAUGUGCAAAGAACUGCAUUAUUCAUGCUGGCAUUAGAUUUCUCUUUUUUCGGACUGGCCUGCUAAUGGUAGCCUCACUUCUUUACAUAGUCCUUACAUGAACCAUAACAUUUCUGAUUUAAUGUGUUUGUUCUCUACCACUGUUCCUUGACUGAAUCUCGGUUAGGCUGGCCAGAGCAACAAUAUUCAGCCAAAAAUGCAAUCCUCUUCACGACCUUGGUGAAGGCCAUUAUAAUACGAUAAGAUGGAAUCCCGAAGGGUGAUGUAUCCUUGCAAUAAUUUGAUCAGCCAGUCGUGCUAUGUUCUCUGGUCUUAGUGGGUGUAGAUAUAUAUGCAUACCCUUCUGUUAUAGUUUGGUUAUUAGCAUAGCAAUAUGCGUCUAACAAAUUGUUAAUGUUCUGUUAUUGCUUGCUUUCGUGUAAGAAAAAAAAUCGUGUUUAUCUUGAUGAUAUCCUUGACCCAAGUUUCUCCACCAAUUAUUGUUAUAGUUGGACCUGGUAAUUUGCCUGGUGAUAUUGUCACUAAAAUUUGUAUUUGACAAUAGCCUUAACAGUUAGAAUGAGUAAACAUUCUGAUUGGGGAAGUCUUCUAUGCUUUAAAGAGAGCCUAUGAGAGACUACAAAAGCAAAAAGGGCAUGCUUUGAUAUUUCUUUAUGUGGUUGCCACAUAGCUCAUAGUUUUUUUGUCCAGUUUUCUGGGACUAUUCAGAAAAGAAAUUAGUAGGGAAAACAAAGGCUAAAUGGCAUGUCCGAUGGUCGCCAUUUUAUGAUAGUCACUACAGCUCCAAGGCUUCAAAUAUGUCGACAGCAUGAUAAUGGAAAUGGUGUGGAUCCUUACAUU
Long non-coding RNA from Triticum aestivum (bread wheat), 1912 nucleotides. RefSeq lists it as uncharacterized. NCBI's taxonomy places the organism in Eukaryota, Viridiplantae, Streptophyta, Magnoliopsida, Poales, Poaceae. The transcript is spliced from 4 exons. The record is from RefSeq and is a predicted model, not a curated record.